GAUGAACGCUGGCGGCGUGCUUAACACAUGCAAGUCGAACGAUGAAGCCCAGCUUGCUGGGUGUGUUAGUGUCGAACGGGUGAGUAACACGUGAGUAACCUGCCCUUAACUCUGGGAUAAGCCUGGAAAACUGGGUCUAAUACCGGAUAUGAGCGCCUACCGCAUGGUGGGUGGUGUGGAGAUUUGGCGGUUUUGGAUGGACUCGCGGCUUAUCAGCUUGUUGGUGGGGUAAUGGCUCACCAAGGCGAUGACGGGUAGCCGGCCUGAGAGGGUGACCGGCCACACUGGGACUGAGACACGGCCCAGACUCCUACGGGAGGCAGCAGUGGGGAAUAUUGCACAAUGGGCGGAAGCCUGAUGCAGCGACGCCGCGUGCGGGAUGACGGCCUUCGGGUUGUAAACCUCUUUCAGUAGGGAAGAAGCGAGAGUGACGGUACCUGGAGAAGAAGCACCGGCUAACUACGUG
RNAcentral lists this ribosomal RNA (466 nucleotides) under uncultured bacterium. RNAcentral describes it as "partial 16S ribosomal RNA". It matches the Rfam family "Bacterial small subunit ribosomal RNA", at positions 28 to 507 of the family's 1533-position model. The record is from RNAcentral.